UUUCCUUAUCUUCUUCUUCUUUUUCCAUUUCCAAAAGCUCCCGACGCAGCUUCUUCUUCAAAAUCUUCUCCAUCCUCUUCUUUGUUUUCUCAGACAAAAUCGAUCACAAGAUUCGCUGUUAUGAGGUUGAGGAAAGUUAAAAGUUGAUUUUCCUUUAAAUCUAGCGAAGAUGGUGAAGAAAUAAAACCCUAAAUCAAAUUUUGUUGUUAUGCUUUUGUUGCUGUUAAUUGAGAGAUGAUUUCACGAGAAACUUUGUUAUUCUUCAUUAGCUUAGAUUUCAAUUUCGAUUAAGAAUCCUAAGUAAAUCUUCUUUAAAUUUUAAUUUCAGUUGUAAACCCUAAGUAAUUUUUUUUUUAAUUUCAGACACCUCCAUAUUCAGAUAUAUAGGGCUUCUCAAUAAGAUCUUCAGGGAAACUAAUAACUGGUUGUUUGUGAUUUUAAUUUCACUCACCUCUCGGUUUCAAUCUCAAUUCUACACCAUUUUUUGAUGUGUGUGUGGAUCUAAUAACUGGUUGUUUGUGAAUUGUGCUGGAAAACUUAGAGGAGAACUCACAAGAGAAGAAGCCUUGAGGUAGAUAUCACAAGAGGAUACAAUACAACAGAUGUUUCGUUACUGCUGUAAUAGCAGCAAUGAGCGCUCAUGAGUACCAAUUUGAGGUGAAACAAGAGGAGAAGUUUGGUUUUUUUUGGAGCCUCUUGGGAUUGGGUUCAGAACCAGUUAACUGGUGAAAUUCCUAGGUUAAUCCACUGGGAUGAAGUGCUGCAGUAUUUUUGAAGGCCUGUGGAAUAUAUAGGAACAUGAAAAGUUAAUGGAAAAUAAAUCACUAAGCACCCCAUGACACAGACUGAAUGUGUCUUGCUGAUGAACCCAAUGGGUUAAAUGGAAGAGAGUGGAAGGAUCUUCUGUAAUUUUGGACUACUUACCAUCAGCAACGUCAAAAGAAGAAGCAGGCCAAGCGUACAAUGGGGCAGAAAACUUUUCUCGAUGCAAAUCUAAAUUGAUACGUACAUACAUGCGUCUCACUUUGCAAUCCUGCAACACGAAAUCUAUUUGAGAGGCCUGUGAGUCGAUGGCCUACAACAGAGACUGUUGGAGCUGCUGCAAUGAAGUCAAACCCCAUUGGAGCCGCUGCAGACUUUGAUGAGGAUGAGUUCUAAGCUGAACUUGAGUAGUUGGUCAAGAAGCUUGCAAAGAAGUUCCAUGCUUUUCUAGCCUCAGAGGCUGUUAUCAAGCAGAUUCAUUGUCUUCUUGGACCUGGACUUA
Papaver somniferum (opium poppy) is the source of this 1264-nucleotide long non-coding RNA. RefSeq lists it as uncharacterized. The record is from RefSeq and is a predicted model, not a curated record. NCBI's taxonomy places the organism in Eukaryota, Viridiplantae, Streptophyta, Magnoliopsida, Ranunculales, Papaveraceae. The transcript has 7 exons.